GUUUCCCUCUACUUCUUGGACCUUUUGAAGAUGCAAACACAGAGUAAGGUUCGUCUAUUAAAAGUUUGUCAUCAGCAUAUGAGGUUUUGUUUUCCAAAUGCUGCUCGCUUCCUGUGUGGAGAGAUAAGCAGGCAAUCUUACUGUGUUUGCGCUCACAGCCCCCAUUGGGGAGAAAAAUCUCAUAACUGGGGAAAUUCCUCCACCUCCACAGAGCGUUUUCGGAACCCGACAGAUCCUGCCGGAAUCACGGACACUGGCCGGCAAGGAGUGAAGGGUUUGUGUAACGGUCCUAUGUGUGAACCAGGUUUCUGCAUGAAGACGCUCUCACCUCCAUUGCUUCUUUCUUCCUGAGAGACACAGAAAGAGCACACAUGACUCGCCUGCUAGUUAUAAAAAAUCAUUCUCUCCGUCCGGUGGCUCCGCCAUGCAGCUACGAUGAGAGUACUGGUGACCAUGAGAGAAGCUGGUUGCUUGGUAUGAGGUUUUCAUUUUGGCAUUAGCAGGCCUGAAGCACUGCUGGAGACCUACCCAAGCCAGAGCUUCAGUGGGCCCAGCAUGAACCUGAGUGCAGGGGCACAUG
Molecule: long non-coding RNA, 580 nt
Organism: Rattus norvegicus (Norway rat)
Lineage: Eukaryota; Metazoa; Chordata; Mammalia; Rodentia; Muridae
Source: RefSeq, a predicted model, not a curated record